RNAcentral lists this transfer RNA (93 nucleotides) under Nocardia asteroides. RNAcentral describes it as "tRNA-Ser(cga)". The record is from RNAcentral. Lineage: Bacteria; Bacillati; Actinomycetota; Actinomycetes; Mycobacteriales; Nocardiaceae.
CCGCGGCGGCGGCCAGCGCGGCCGCGGCGUCGAGCGCCGCGGCGCGCAGCGCGACGGUCGGGUCGUCGGGAUCACCACCGGAUGCCGCGGGCC